RNAcentral lists this ribosomal RNA (253 nucleotides) under uncultured bacterium. RNAcentral's name for it is "partial 16S ribosomal RNA". It matches the Rfam family "Bacterial small subunit ribosomal RNA", at positions 524 to 776 of the family's 1533-position model. The record is from RNAcentral.
UACGUAGGGUGCAAGCGUUGUCCGGAAUUAUUGGGCGUAAAGAGCUCGUAGGCGGUUUGUCGCGUCUGCUGUGAAAGUUCGGGGCUCAACCCCGGAACUGCAGUGGGUACGGGCAGACUAGAGUGCGGUAGGGGAGACUGGAAUUCCUGGUGUAGCGGUGGAAUGCGCAGAUAUCAGGAGGAACACCAGUGGCGAAGGCGGGUCUCUGGGCCGCAACUGACGCUGAGGAGCGAAAGCAUGGGGAGCGAACAGG